RNAcentral lists this ribosomal RNA (495 nucleotides) under uncultured bacterium. RNAcentral's name for it is "partial 16S ribosomal RNA". It matches the Rfam family "Bacterial small subunit ribosomal RNA", at positions 28 to 507 of the family's 1533-position model. The record is from RNAcentral.
GAUGAACGCUGGCGGCGUGCCUAAUACAUGCAAGUAGAACGCUGAAGGAGGAGCUUGCUCUUCUGGAUGAGUUGCGAACGGGUGAGUAACGCGUAGGUAACCUGCCUUGUAGCGGGGGAUAACUAUUGGAAACGAUAGCUAAUACCGCAUGACAACAGUUAUUGCAUGAUAACUGUUGAAAAGUGGCAACUGCUCCACUACCAGAUGGACCUGCGUUGUAUUAGCUUGUUGGUGAGGUAACGGCUCACCAAGGCGACGAAACAUAGCCGACAUGAGAGGGGGAUCGGCCACACUGGGAAGGAGACACGCCCCAGUCUCAUUGGGGAGCCGGCCAUAGGGCUACGGGGGACAGGGGCGGAGGUUAUACCAAGCAGGGCCGAGUGAGUAAAGAGCGUUGUCGGGUGGGAAAGCUCUGUUGUCGGGGUGGAAACAGUGUGAGACUGGAACGUUCAGUCUGUGACGGUAACUUACAAGAAAGCACCGGCUAACUACGUG